Salvator merianae (Argentine black and white tegu) is the source of this 1709-nucleotide long non-coding RNA. Lineage: Eukaryota; Metazoa; Chordata; Lepidosauria; Squamata; Teiidae. The record is from Ensembl.
GACACACCCGCUUUGCUUAGAGGCGCAGCAGAUAGAGCGGUUGUUAACGACUCUUAAAAGGGGGGAGGAACGGGGCAGCAGUAGGACAACGAACUGCAUUGCAUCGGGUGUCUGUUUGAAUUGGGACUCUGGCAAGGGCAGUGGGCUCUGGGGCGCCUGAGCAGCAGGAACCUUCAGGCAGUUUCCUCGCACAGAGCUUGAGAGAGGAAGCAAUGAAUGGGAGAAUUCAAAGGAUGGCGAUAAAUAAGACAAGAACUGAUGGAUCUACUGUUGACAGACAGGAGGAAACUGAAGUGGUGAAUGCUUUCAGAUGGAGGCCUUGGAAAGAACACAGGAGGUUGGUUAUGAGCAGCCUGGGCCUGCAGGAGAGUGUGGGGACAUCGGCCAUGAGGACUUCAUCAAGCUGGUGUCCAUCUAGACUGCGUACCUUGAGAUACAUCUGAUGAGCUUCCCACCCCCAAAGGCCGAUGGCUGCUAUGAACAAGAAAGGGACUGUGAAAUGGCCUAUGGGACAGGAGGGCUAAAAGCUGGGAAGUUGUUUCUUUCUUUUUUUCUUCCCAAGUUUGUCUCUUUCUUGCAAAAUGUAUAUUUAAGACACUGCUUGGCCUUUUCCUCACCUGCCAUUGUCAUGCUGGGAUUCUUUUAUUGUUAAACUUCACAGUGUUUUUCCUACUUCAGCUGGAACUGUCUUCUGGAGCUUAGCUUUCUAGGAAUAGUUUUGGUCUUCUUCUACCUCCUCUUCUAUUCAGCAGUCUUCAGAGAGAAGAAAUGGUUUCCUCUGGUAUCAGCAGUAGCAAACGGUCAGUUGAAGUUGUCCGGUGAGAAGGAGUGAAGUGGGAAUUCUGAUUUGGCAACUUUUGGCACAGAGCUUUAUAUUCAGUUCAGGUAAAUUGCUGCUCCUGCUUUGUUACCUUGGAGGUGGUGUAGCUCAGUGAUAGAGCAUUUCCUUAGAAAAAGCUGUCAUAAGAUUCAGGUUCUAAUGUCUUGGCCCCACACCCAAAGGUAUGGCAAACCACUUCUAUAUCCUGGCCCAGAAACAGUGUGACUGUGACUGUGUAGUCAGCGAACCACUGAGUAUGGUCAAAGUUUCCUUUCAUUUUUAGCUCACCAGUAUAGUGAAAUCUGUUAAGUUCUUCUCAUAGAGUCUCCAUUUUUUAUGCCUCCUAAUACCAGCAGUGGAAACCCUGAUGCCUUUUGGGCUUCUCAUUAUCCCAGGCUGUUGAUGUUAUGGGUGAGUUUAAUUUCACAUCAGGGCAGCUUAACUGCCUAUCAUUAUGGGUCAGCAGGUGUGUUCUUCUGCUAACAUUAUCCCUGGACCAAAAUGAUUAAGGUGCUAUGAUAGCAGAAUCAUACUGGUAUUAUGAUCAGCUGUAUACUCAGCCUCAGCAUCCUAGCUGUUUAAGGCUUUUCAGGAAAGUGGAAUAAGGUGUUGGAUUGUCUAUGCCUCAUUCUAAAGUCUUGUUUAAAAGAUUUCAUAUUCAUAACAAAAUAUUAGUACAUGACCUAUUUGUAUUCACAGGAUGUUGUAGGGUAAUAGAAAAUAUUGCAUUGUAUAUACUUUGCCUUGUUAUACUAAUUUAGCACUUCAUAUAAAUAUUCAGUCUGCUUCAUAUCAUUCUGAAAAAUUUCCAGUAGCCUACCUACCUGCCUAUCCAUCCAUCCAACCAUCCAUCCAUCAGGACCAGAAUAAACAAAACAAAUUAAAACCA